GAGAGGAGGAGGAGGAGGAGGAUGGCUCACAACCUUCCUAUAAGUGUCAGCAUAGAUGAAGAUUAAGCUUCAUGUAUUUAUUCACCCACAAAUUAUUUGGAGGAAAAUCAAAGUUUUGACCUUCCCAUGGUCAUGGGUUCAUUGAGGAAAGGAGAAUGAAAGAAAGUUAGGAUGGCUCACAACCUUCCCAUAAGUGUCGACAUAGAUGAAGAUUAAGCUCCAUGUAUUUAUUCACCCACAAAUUAUUAGGAGGAAAACCAAAGCUUUACCUUCCCAUGGUCAUGGGUUCAUUGAGGAAAGGAAAAUUGAAGAAAGUUAGGAUUCAAGGAAGGAGAUGAAGUUGUGAGCUAAAUUUUCCUCUUUUGAAGAAUUCAAGGCUACUUCAUCAUCUGGGUCCGUCUAGGCAUUUACGACCCUAGGGAGCUUUGAAGAACUGAAGAAAAAGGUUGAUUUGUCUGGUUGGAAGAUAAAGUAUUACAAAUUAGUUUUUUUUCUUUUCUUUUUAUGGUGAAAAAAGUCUGUUGUUAUUAGUAUUCAAUAAUUAAUUAUUAGUACAACAGUAAUUGUGUGGGUUAAAAAACAAAUCAUUUAUCUCUUCUUUUUCAUCCUUCUACUUAGAUUAUUUAGAUUUUCACA
This 636-nucleotide long non-coding RNA is filed under the name Medicago truncatula (barrel medic). RNAcentral describes it as "lncRNA gene35138". Lineage: Eukaryota; Viridiplantae; Streptophyta; Magnoliopsida; Fabales; Fabaceae. The record is from RNAcentral.